CCUACGGGAGGCAGCAGUGGGGAAUAUUGCACAAUGGGCGAAAGCCUGAUGCAGCAACGCCGCGUGAAGGAAGAAGGCCUUCGGGUCGUAAACUUCUGUCCGUGGGGAAGAAGAACGGACGGUACCCAAGGAGGAAGCCCCGGCUAACUACGUGCCAGCAGCCGCGGGAAUACGUCGGGGGCAAGCGUUAUCCGGAAUUAGUGGGCGGAAAGAGUACGGAGGUGGCAACCGAAGCGCAGGGUUUAAGGCAAUGGCUCAUCCAUUGUUCGCCCUGCGAACUGGGAUGCUUGGGUGCAGGAGAGGCAAGCGGCCUUCCUUGUGUUGCGGUGAAAUGCGUAGAUAUUCGGAGGACCACCAGUGGCGAAGGCGGCUUUCUGGACUGUAACUGCCACUGAGGUACGACAGCGUGGGGAGCAAACAGGAUUAGCUACCCCAGUAGUC
RNAcentral lists this ribosomal RNA (441 nucleotides) under uncultured bacterium. RNAcentral's name for it is "partial 16S ribosomal RNA". It matches the Rfam family "Bacterial small subunit ribosomal RNA", at positions 338 to 795 of the family's 1533-position model. The record is from RNAcentral.